GACGAACGCUGGCGGCGUGCCUAAUACAUGCAAGUAGAACGCUGAAGGAGGAGCUUGCUUCUCCGGAUGAGUUGCGAACGGGUGAGUAACGCGUAGGUAACCUGCCUGGUAGCGGGGGAUAACUAUUGGAAACGAUAGCUAAUACCGCAUAACAGUAGAUGUUGCAUGAUAUCUGCUUGAAAGGUGCAAUUGCAUCACUACCAGAUGGACCUGCGUUGUAUUAGCUAGUUGGUGAGGUAACGGCUCACCAAGGCGACGAUACAUAGCCGACCUGAGAGGGUGAUCAGCCACACUGGGACUGAGACACGGCCCAGACUCCUACAGGAGGCAGCAGUAGGGAAUCUUCGGCAAUGGACGGAAGUCUGACCGAGCAACGCCGCGGGAGUGAAGAAGGUUUUCGGAUCGGAAAGCUCUGUUGUAAGAGAAGAACGAGUGUGAGAGUGGAAAGUUCACAGUGUGACGGUAUCUUACCAGAAAGGGACGGCUAACUACGUG
This 495-nucleotide ribosomal RNA is filed under the name uncultured bacterium. RNAcentral's name for it is "partial 16S ribosomal RNA". It matches the Rfam family "Bacterial small subunit ribosomal RNA", at positions 28 to 507 of the family's 1533-position model. The record is from RNAcentral.